This 172-nucleotide unclassified non-coding RNA is filed under the name uncultured Sordariales. RNAcentral's name for it is "sequence contains ITS2". The record is from RNAcentral. Lineage: Eukaryota; Fungi; Ascomycota; Sordariomycetes; Sordariales.
CAACCCUCAGAACCCCUGUAUUUUUUGUACGGGGCGUGCUGGUGUUGGGGCCUUCUGCGGCUGCCGCAGGCCCUGAAUAACAGUGGCGGGCUCCGCUAUACUCCGAGCGCAGUAAUACUUCUCGCUCAGGGCGUGUAGCGGGGAUCUAGCCUUGUCUUCUUACUUUAAAUGG